Cherax quadricarinatus is the source of this 460-nucleotide non-coding RNA. The record is from RefSeq and is a predicted model, not a curated record. NCBI's taxonomy places the organism in Eukaryota, Metazoa, Arthropoda, Malacostraca, Decapoda, Parastacidae.
CCCAACAACAACACUUAAAGCAUUUACUCCUCUCAUAUAUUAUGACAUAUUUUUUUUCAUUCUAGAGUAUUUAUUAUGUUUCUAUGUUAUUAAUAUUGUUUAUAAUAUCAUAUUAGAUGAAUUGUGAUAGAUAAAUAAGCCGUAGAGGUGAUAUUAGCUUCAUAUUGAAGCAUAAUAAACUUGCCUUCCUCUUGCCUCCUAUGUGUCUACCAUACACCAACAAGUCAAGUCAAUAAAGACCAUAUUUGUGCAGGCAUGGUACCCCAUUACAGUUGCAACAAAUUCUCGGAUUCAGAAGCAAAUUAUUCACCAGUACCUGAAGGACACGAACGACAACUUGGAUCAACUUCACUUUAUGCUGCAUGACUUUGGAUACCGAGGGGCAUCUUCUGUAGAGAGUGCUGCUAUUGGUGGGGCAUCCCAUCUGGUGAACUUUAAGGUGAGUAUUGAUAACUUCAUU